Pelobates cultripes (western spadefoot toad) is the source of this 376-nucleotide non-coding RNA. NCBI's taxonomy places the organism in Eukaryota, Metazoa, Chordata, Amphibia, Anura, Pelobatidae. The record is from the annotation of a GenBank genome assembly.
CUGACCGUGGCUGCGGCUUCCUUUUACUAUGGAAGCACGUGACAUCAGACGCAUGGGCGAAGUUGCAUCGGCGAAAACCCGGAAGUCAUUACAGGUGAAUGCCGAUCGGAUAGAAAUUAUAGUAGAAAUCAUGACAGACAGUCACACACAGAGUUACAGUCCCACACAAGCAGGCAGUGACAUACACAGUGACAGUCACACACACAGUUACAGUUCACACACAGGCAGAUAGUCACACAGGCAGACAGUCACACACAUUUACAGUCACACACAGGCAUAUAGUCACACACACAGUUACCUCUUUCUAUUAUGGGCUGGAAGGGAGGAGUGGAGGCAUUGUAGCGCCUGGGGUUUAGUUGUUGGGGAAGCAGGGACU